Molecule: long non-coding RNA, 1368 nt
Filed under: Marmota monax (woodchuck)
Lineage: Eukaryota; Metazoa; Chordata; Mammalia; Rodentia; Sciuridae
Source: RNAcentral
CAGAAGUGUAUUUUUGGAUAAUAUUUCUAGUGCCGAAAGUCAGAAACAGAAUAAACCAGGGAGGGGCUGAUGGUGGGGACAUCUGGUACUGAUAAGGGACUUUAUUUGACCUUACUGUAUUUUUAAAUUCAUUUUACAAGGUGAGUAUAUUUAUGUGUUAACUACAGAACUUAAAAUUUAUAAUAAAAAUAAAUAAAGCUCAGGAUAACUUUUCCUUUCACCUUGCAGUGUUAGUGAACUCUGGACAGUUUUAGCUCAGAAUACCUAUAUUUGGACUUUAUAGGCUUGUAAUCCUGUUUUGUGAACAAAGCCCCUUUGGACAUUAUUUUACAGUUGGUAUGGCAUCUCCAUCCCCAACAGGGGUGUACAGAGAAGUCCUGGGGCCCUUUUAUGAUUCUAACCAAAGCAAGGCCAAGUGCCAGUGCUUCUGUGUCUCACCCACUAGUACUCAGUGAGGCCACACUCGGGUGGGUCAGUCGAUUCACCCUUACUUAGGCCUUUCUGAACAAACGGGCAAUGUUUGAAUCAGUUGUGACAAGGCUUACUUGCAGAAACCCAUACUAGAUGGAAAAUGGAAACUGUUCCAAGUAUAGAAAAGGUUUGAGGACCCAAAACAAAAGAAAUACUAGUCAACUGUUACUGUGUGCUUAUUGAGUACCUAGGUACUAUAGUACUGUAGAGGUGUAUUUGCUUUCUACAACUUCUAUUGCAAAUUCCUACACACUUGGUGACUUACCACAUGCAUUUGUUCUCUGAAGUUCUGGAGGUCAGAAGUCUAAAAUAAUUUUCACCAGAAGUCAAGGUAUUGGCUAGCUACAUCCCCUCAGGAGACUCUGGGAAGAAUUUUUUUUCCAGUCUCAAGCAGCACCUUUGAAUUCCUUGACUCAUGGCCCCUUCCUCUACCUUCAAAGCAAAUUUUUGGUUGUCACAUCACCUUCUUCUGUGUAAUCACCUCUCUCUGCCAUAAGAACAUUUAUGAUUACACUUAAGGCCCAUCUGGAUCUGGAUAAUACAGGUAAUCUCCCCCUCUCAGUAUCUUCACAUAUUACUUUGCAAUACAAGCUAACAGGUUCCAGGAAUUUGGACCUAGAUGUCUUUUGAGGCUUGUUAUUCAGCUUGCCACACAGGUGACUAUAAUGUGCUCUUGUAUUCACUGACCUUUAUUGGGAGUGAAAGGCAUCCAUAAAUACGAAUAUGUGAAACUGGUUGUCAUAUAAAGAAAAGACUAGGAAUGUGGAGGAAAAAUACUAAUUUUGUUUGAAGGGAUUAGAAAUGUCAUGAAAAAAGGAAGAAAAAUGGUUUGAAAAAGUGGAAAAGAAUAUAAGCAGAGGCAUCAAAAGUUGAGUUUAGAAGAGGCAAGUAAUGCUA